Molecule: long non-coding RNA, 531 nt
Organism: Helianthus annuus (common sunflower)
Lineage: Eukaryota; Viridiplantae; Streptophyta; Magnoliopsida; Asterales; Asteraceae
Exons: 2
Source: RefSeq, a predicted model, not a curated record
CAAUAUUCUCCAUAAAGCAAUCUGUUACCCCCAUCAUCAUCAUCAUUUUUGACAAACUUUAUCUCUCUCAUCUACCACCACCAAACCUACCACCACCAAAAGUUUGUUCAAGAUUAAAAACAAUACCCACCACACCACCAUCGCAGCAGUGGUUACCAGAUCCAGUCCGUGAGAGUCAUGAUCCAACAAUGUUUAAUAGAUCCGAUGGUGGUUUCAAGAUCCGGCGAUGGUCAACUAAUCCGAUGUUGAAGAUGAUGUUUCAGAUAUUGAAGAUGAUCCAAAAGAUGUUUGAUGUUGAACAUGAUGUUCUAGAUCUAAAAGAUUCUCCAGAUCCAUAAAUCUAAAAGGUCCUCCAGAUUUGCAAUUUAGGUUUUGUCGGUCUUCAUUUUUUUAUGUUUUGUAGAUCUGCAACUUUUUUUUUAGUUUUUGUUUAAGAAGAUGAAUGUUAUUAAGUUCUUGUUUUCUGGAUAUAUGGUUUUUUAUUACUGAUUUUAAGAUUGAAUCUAAAAAAUCUAUUAUUGUUGGAUUCUU